Balaenoptera ricei (Rice's whale) is the source of this 73-nucleotide non-coding RNA. The record is from the annotation of a RefSeq genome assembly. NCBI's taxonomy places the organism in Eukaryota, Metazoa, Chordata, Mammalia, Artiodactyla, Balaenopteridae.
UUCCUGGCGGUCCAGUGGUUAGGACUCGGUGCUCACACUGCCGAGGGCCCGGGUUCAAUUCCUGGUCAGGGAA